This is a long non-coding RNA of Betta splendens (Siamese fighting fish), 822 nucleotides long. RefSeq lists it as uncharacterized. The transcript has 3 exons. The record is from RefSeq and is a predicted model, not a curated record. NCBI's taxonomy places the organism in Eukaryota, Metazoa, Chordata, Actinopteri, Anabantiformes, Osphronemidae.
CAGGUUAAUUACUGACAUUAAUUUCGUAGUCACGCGAACGAAGAUUCUGAAUUAAUUCAAAUUAAAUUAAGACACCUUUUUCAUUAAAGUACACAAAGUAAGACGGUCAUAAACCCAAGAGGGAUGUUUUCCCAAACCAUUUCAUACUUGGACGCAGCACUGAUCCUUCCUGUGAGAGCACGAUUCGUCGGAAGUACCGUAGUUGAUGUAUGCUAAUGGGAGAGUUGGGGGUUGUAGCUAGAUAUUUACGUUCAGUGGGAGCCGCCCUUCAUUCACCCACAUGGUUACCAACUGGUCGCCUUCGCGCCACUUUCUUAACCCCGCAAUCAUUUUCAACCCGCCUGCCCGAGCACCAAAUCCACGCACGAUCGGCUCGGGUUACACUUUAGCUUGCGUUUUCACGCCGCGAUUGAAAAGUUUUCGGGAUAGUUGCGCGUUUAUCCCCCUCUUUUGUCGGCUACAGACCGCACGGCAGCCCGAGCAAGUGAGCGAAGAUGGUGGAUUUCGGCUGCUGCAUGAAGAGCUGGACCCCCAGGAAAGGACCACCUUUCCCAUGGUGCUGGAUGCCGGCGCUGUCUAAGUAUUGCCAAAGUGCUUACAGUGCAGGUGGGGAUCAGUAGCAAUGCUGUGUAUCUGGAGGUAUUGCACUUGUCCCGGCCUGUGUAGGAACAGGAAGAUAGAGCUGAUCUGGAUUCUGACCUGAAUGUUGGCUGAAAAACUGAUGCACACUGUCAUGUUUGCCUUUGCCUGAAAUGAAAUGAUGUCUUGUGUGUGGAUAACUGUAAUGUUGAUUGAAAAGGAUUAAACGUUUUCCACUCUUUA